Molecule: ribosomal RNA, 274 nt
Filed under: uncultured bacterium
Lineage: Bacteria
Description: partial 16S ribosomal RNA
Rfam family: Bacterial small subunit ribosomal RNA
Source: RNAcentral
UACGGAGGGGGUUAGCGUUGUUCGGAAUACUGGGCGUAAAGCGUACGUAGGCGGAUCGGAAAGUAUGGGGUGAAAUCCCAGGGCUCAACCCUGGAACUGCCUCAUAAACUAUCGGUCUAGAGUUCGAGAGAGGUGAGUGGAAUUCCAAGUGUAGAGGUGAAAUUCGUAGAUAUUAGGAAGAACACCAGUGGCGAAGGCGGCUCACUGGCUCGGUACUGACGCUGAGGUGGCCAAAAGCGUGGGGAGCAAACAGGAUUAGAUACCCGCGUAGUCC